RNAcentral lists this long non-coding RNA (1442 nucleotides) under Piliocolobus tephrosceles (Ugandan red Colobus). RNAcentral describes it as "lncRNA (ENSPTEG00000016764.1)". The record is from RNAcentral. Lineage: Eukaryota; Metazoa; Chordata; Mammalia; Primates; Cercopithecidae.
UAUUUGUAAAAAUGACAAUAAUCACAAUAACAUUGAUAGUAAUAACAAUAGUUUUUACAAUGAAAAAAAAAACGAAUUUUUAUUUACAGAAAGAGAUAUAAAUUUAUUAGUUAAAAAUUCGAAAAGUAAGAAAAAGGAAAAAAAGGGAAGCUAUGAUGAUAGUAAUGACAAUAAUUACUAUAGUAAUGAUAAUUAUAAUGAUAAUAAUGGUUAUAACGACAGUAAUAACAAAAACGGAGAGGGUAUUGUCAAUAAUAAUAACGGUAGCAGUAAUUGUGGCUACCAUUUACUAAACGGUAACAACAAUCUUGAAAAACUAAACAAAGAAUCAGCAUUAUUUCUGUUUGACCCUUAUAGUACAAAACAAGAAAUAGAAAAUACAAUGACAACAAAAGAGGUACCUAGUAAUAGUAGUAGUAGUAGUAAGAGGCAAAAAUCAUAUCCUAUAAGAAACGUAAGAAAAGUAAACAAAGGAAAAAAAUUUAAGACAUCAAUGAUUGUAUCAAAUUUAUCAAAAGAAACAUUAAAAACUGACAAUCUUUUAAAUAAUUUAUCGUACGAAAAUUUAUAUAUAAUGAAUAACAAUUUACAAAAUAAUGAACAAAUAAUAUAUGCUAAUGAAAUAAAUAAUAUACUUUAUAACAAGGAUGUUUUAGAACCAGUAUUAAACAAUGUUACUAAAGUUAAUGAUGAAAAUAUUUUUAAUAAUGAUUUUUAUAUAAAUAAUGAUAAAAAAAAAUUAACAAAAAGAAAAAAACAAAAACCGUUAGAUAAUAAUAAAUGUACUAAUUUUAACAAUGACAAUAAUAUCAAUAACAAUGUUACUAAUAGUGUAACUAAUGAACAGAAUAACUUAGUCAUAAAUAAUGUUGGCCAUUAUAUUGAUGAUAAUGAAGAUUCUAUAAAAUUAAAUAGUAAUAUAUUUAAAACAGUUGAUAAUAUGUUAAAUAGUACAUCUUCAUUAGCACAAUAUUCAGUAGCACAAUAUAAAAUACAAAACGCUAAAUGUGCUUAUAGUACUAAUAAAAAAAAGUUACAACACUGUAACGAGAAAAUGCUUUACUCAAAAAGGAAUAAAAAUAUGAGUAACAUAAAAAAAAAUGGUAUAAUUAGUAAGAGUAGUAGUAGGUUUAAGAACAUGAGUGGCAGGAACCUGGGAGGUAAUGAUGGCAACAAUAAUAAUAAUGAAAACGAGAAUAAUGAAAAUGGGAAUAAUGAAAAUGGGAAUAAUGAGAAUGGGAAUAACGAAAACGGGACUAAUGAAAACAGGACUAAUGAAAACAGGAAUAAUGAGAAUAACAGUAAUAAUAUUGGCAAUGAUAACAGUGACAACAUUAAUAGUGGCAACAAUAACAAUAACAAUAGUAAAAAUUUAUCUUUUAUGCUUGUAAAAAAUAAUGAACAUGAUAAUUUUUAUCAACCAACAUCUGUUUCUCCUAAAA